This 420-nucleotide ribosomal RNA is filed under the name Triticum aestivum (bread wheat). RNAcentral's name for it is "partial small subunit ribosomal RNA". Lineage: Eukaryota; Viridiplantae; Streptophyta; Magnoliopsida; Poales; Poaceae. The record is from RNAcentral.
AUGCAAGACUAUUUCGCGGAGAAUCCUACGUAUCCUCCGCACCUCUUCCGGAGAAGGUACCGAAUGUGCCGAUCCCUCUUUGUGAAACUUGUUCAAGUUUGCGAGGCAAAUUGCCGGUAUUAUACUCAAAGAAGAAAUGCCGCGGGCUUAAAGGGAUUUAGUGCGUGUCAAAAAAUCUCCGCAUCUAUGCGGGUGAUUGCAUAUGGGGUUCCGGCUGACUAUGCCGAUGAGUAUCUUCGCAUUGGUGAAGAUACCAUAAUUAAGUUUGUGCGUAGAUUUGCAAAAGUGAUCGUCCGUGUCUUUGGUCCUGAGUAUCUUCGGGCACCCAAUGAAGAUGACACAAAGAAAUUGAUGGCAUCUAAUGAGAGGAGAGGUUGGCCUGGCAUGCUAGGUAGCAUUGAUUGUAUGCAUUGGAAUUGG